UAGAGAACUUCCUUGGGUCUAAGCCUAUUUUCAAAAGCUCGUUUAUCAGAGUUCCUGAAGUCGGGCCUCCCUUGCCACGACAGUGUAAUCUUCAGUUCUCCCUUCCUUUCUCCCUUAGGUUGAAAACAGCUUUUCUAUUUCUGUCCCCAUCUGCAAAGAGUUCCACAAGAACAUCAUAGGGAAAGGAGGUGCCAACAUCAAGAAGAUCCGUAAAGAAAGCAACACCAAAAUUGAUCUCCCAGCAAAGAACAGCAGCUCGGAGACAAUUGUUAUCACAGGCAAGAGGGCAAACUGUGAGGCUGCUCGCCACAGGAUUCUUGCCAUCCAGAAGGAGCUGGCCAACAGCACAGAGGUGGAGGUCUCUAUACCUUCCAAAAUGCACAGUUCCCUCAUUGGUGCCAAAGUCCGCUUCGUCCGCUCCAUUGUGGAGGACUGUGGUGGAGUCCACAUCCACUUCCCCACCUAGGGCUCUGGCAGUGACACCGUGACCAUCAGGGGCCCAGCCCAGGGUGUGUAGAAAGCCAAGAAACAGCUGCUGCACCUGUGAAACAGCACAAGGUCUUAAUAAAUAAAUAAAUAAAUGGCAAUGCUCUGUUUGUGUUGAGAAAGGCAUCUAGUCUGACUAACUAGAAAAGAAAAGGUGGGCACCUGAAGGAGGGAAGGAGGCCAUCAAGUCAGGAAAUCGUUGAAGAAAGAAAAUGGAAAGGUCUAUUCCACCUAGAUCCCCCUAGAUCUAUUAUGAAUAGAAUGACCGGGUGUCCAAAUCUGUGUAUUAUUGCAAAUGUGCUGUGUCAAUUUUCUCACCCCAGAGAGCAGGGAGCAGCACUUUUGUGCUGUGCCUGACAUGGCUGCCAGGGCAGGGUGAGAAGCAGCAAGAGAAUUCCUUCCUGGAACCCUCUCCAGGGGAACAGUGCUGCGCUUUCCCAAGCCAUGUUUUUUGGUUCUGUAUGGGUGUAAAUGUGCUGUGCCAAUUUUUCACCACAGAAAGCAGGGAGCAGAACUUUUAU
Long non-coding RNA from Falco peregrinus (peregrine falcon), 1007 nucleotides. RefSeq lists it as uncharacterized. The record is from RefSeq and is a predicted model, not a curated record. The transcript is spliced from 3 exons. NCBI's taxonomy places the organism in Eukaryota, Metazoa, Chordata, Aves, Falconiformes, Falconidae.